RNAcentral lists this ribosomal RNA (496 nucleotides) under uncultured bacterium. RNAcentral's name for it is "partial 16S ribosomal RNA". It matches the Rfam family "Bacterial small subunit ribosomal RNA", at positions 28 to 506 of the family's 1533-position model. The record is from RNAcentral.
GAUGAACGCUGGCGGCGUGCCUAAUACAUGCAAGUCGAGCGAACGGACGAGAAGCUUGCUUCUCUGAUGUUAGCGGCGGACGGGUGAGUAACACGUGGAUAACCUACCUAUAAGACUGGGAUAACUUCGGGAAACCGUAGCUAAUACCGGAUAAUAUUUUGAACCGCAUGGUUCAAAAGUGAAAGACGGUCUUGCUGUCACUUAUAGAUGGAUCCGCGCUGCAUUAGCUAGUUGGUAAGGUAACGGCUUACCAAGGCAACGAUGCAUAGCCGACCUGAGAGGGGGAUCGGCCACACUGGAACUGAGACACGGUCCAGCACCCUACGGGAGGCAGAAGUAGGGAAUCUUCCGCAAUGGGCGAAAGCCUGACGGAGCAACGCCGCGUGAGUGAUGAAGGUCUUCGGAUCGUAAACCUCUUUUAUUAGGGAAGAAAAUAUGUGUAAGUAACUGUGCACAUCUUGACGGUCCCUAAUCAGAAAGCCACGGCUAACUACGU